This 148-nucleotide non-coding RNA is filed under the name Gorilla gorilla gorilla (western lowland gorilla). The record is from Rfam by way of RNAcentral. Lineage: Eukaryota; Metazoa; Chordata; Mammalia; Primates; Hominidae.
GCUGGGCAUGGUGGUGCAUGCCUGUAAUCUCAGCUACUCAGGAGGCUGAGGCAGGAGAAUUGCUUGAACCCAGGAGGCAGAGGUUGUGGUGAGCGGAGAUUGUGCCACUACACUCCAGCCUGGGUAACAGAGUGAGACACUGUCUCAA